GAGAGUUUGAUCCUGGCUCAGAUUGAACGCUGGCGGCAGGCCUAACACAUGCAAGUCGAACGGUAGCACAGAGGAGCUUGCUCCUUGGGUGACGAGUGGCGGACGGGUGAGUAAUGUCUGGGAAACUGCCCGAUGGAGGGGGAUAACUACUGGAAACGGUAGCUAAUACCGCAUAACGUCGCAAGACCAAAGAGGGGGACCUUCGGGCCUCUUGCCAUCGGAUGUGCCCAGAUGGGAUUAGCUAGUAGGUGGGGUAACGGCUCACCUAGGCGACGAUCCCUAGCUGGUCUGAGAGGAUGACCAGCCACACUGGAACUGAGACACGGUCCAGACUCCUACGGGAGGCAGCAGUGGGGAAUAUUGCACAAUGGGCGCAAGCCUGAUGCAGCCAUGCCGCGUGUAUGAAGAAGGCCUUCGGGUUGUAAAGUACUUUCAGCGAGGAGGAAGGGGAUGUGGUUAAUAACCGCAUUCAUUGACGUUACUCGCAGAAGAAGCACCGGCUAACUCCGUGCCAGCAGCCGCGGUAAUACAAAA
Molecule: ribosomal RNA, 534 nt
Filed under: Citrobacter braakii
Lineage: Bacteria; Pseudomonadati; Pseudomonadota; Gammaproteobacteria; Enterobacterales; Enterobacteriaceae
Description: bacterial SSU rRNA
Rfam family: Bacterial small subunit ribosomal RNA
Source: RNAcentral